GGCUUGACGUUAGCUGCAGAAGAAGCACCGGCUAACUCCGUGCCAGCAGCCGCGGUAAUACGGAGGGUGCGAGCGUUAAUCGGAAUUACUGGGCGUAAAGCGCAUGCAGGCGGUUUGUUAAGUCAGAUGUGAAAGCCCGGGGCUCAACCUCGGAACCGCAUUUGAAACUGGCAGGCUAGAGUCUUGUAGAGGGGGGUAGAAUUUCAGGUGUAGCGGUGAAAUGCGUAGAGAUCUGAAGGAAUACCAGUGGCGAAGGCGGCCCCCUGGACAAAGACUGACGCUCAGAUGCGAAAGCGUGGGUAGCAAACAGGAUUAGAUACCCUGGUAGUCCACGCCGUAAACGCUGUCUACUUGGAGGUUGAGGUUUAGACUUUGGCUUUCGGCGCUAACGCAUUAAGUAGACCGCCUGGGGAGUACGGCCGCAAGGUUAAAACUCAAAUGAAUUGACGGGGGCCCGCACAAGCGGUGGAGCAUGUGGUUUAAUUCGAUGCAACGCGAAGAACCUUACCUACUCUUGACAUCCAGCGAAUCCUUUAGAGAUAGAGGCGUGCCUUCGGGAGCGCUGAGACAGGUGCUGCAUGGCUGUCGUCAGCUCGUGUUGUGAAAUGUUGGGUUAAGUCCCGCAACGAGCGCAACCCUUAUCCUUGUUUGCCAGCACAUAAUGGUGGGAACUCCAGGGAGACUGCCGGUGAUAAACCGGAGGAAGGUGGGGACGACGUCAAGUCAUCAUGGCCCUUACGAGUAGGGCUACACACGUGCUACAAUGGCAGAUACAGAGGGCAGCGAAGCUGCGAAGUGGAGCGAAUCCCUUAAAGUCUGUCGUAGUCCGGAUUGGAGUCUGCAACUCGACUCCAUGAAGUCGGAAUCGCUAGUAAUCGUGGAUCAGAAUGCCACGGUGAAUACGUUCCCGGGCCUUGUACACACCGCCCGUCACACCAUGGGAGUGGGCUGCACCAGAAGUAGAUAGCUUAACCUUCGGGAGGGCGUUUACCACGGUGUGGUUCAUGACUGGGGUGAAGUCGUAACAAGGUAGCCCUAGGGGAACCUGGGGCUGGAUCACCUCCUUA
This 1067-nucleotide ribosomal RNA is filed under the name Salinivibrio kushneri. RNAcentral describes it as "bacterial SSU rRNA". It matches the Rfam family "Bacterial small subunit ribosomal RNA", at positions 466 to 1533 of the family's 1533-position model. The record is from RNAcentral. Lineage: Bacteria; Pseudomonadati; Pseudomonadota; Gammaproteobacteria; Vibrionales; Vibrionaceae.